Molecule: ribosomal RNA, 305 nt
Filed under: uncultured bacterium
Lineage: Bacteria
Description: bacterial SSU rRNA
Rfam family: Bacterial small subunit ribosomal RNA
Source: RNAcentral
UUACCUACGGGACGCAGCAGUGAGGAAUAUUGGUCAAUGGGCUAAGGCCUGAACCAGCCAAGUCGCGUGAGGGAAGACGGUCCUAUGGAUUGUAAACCUCUUUUGUCGGGGAGCAACGAGGCCACGUGUGGCCGAAGUGAGAGUACCCGAAGAAAAAGCAUCGGCUAACUCCGUGCCAGCAGCCGCGGUAAUACGGAGGAUGCGAGCGUUAUCCGGAUUUAUUGGGUUUAAAGGGUGCGCAGGCGGCGAGUUAAGUCAGCGGUAAAAUUUCGGGGCUCAACCCCGACGAGCCGUUGAAACUGGCU